UACGUAGGGCGCAAGCGUUGUCCGGAAUUAUUGGGCGUAAAGAGCUCGUAGGCGGCUUGUCACGUCGGGUGUGAAAGCCCGGGGCUUAACCCCGGGUCUGCAUUCGAUACGGGCAGGCUAGAGUUCGGUAGGGGAGACUGGAAUUCCUGGUGUAGCGGUGAAAUGCGCAGAUAUCAGGAGGAACACCGGUGGCGAAGGCGGGUCUCUGGGCCGAUACUGACGCUGAGGAGCGAAAGCGUGGGGAGCGAACAGG
RNAcentral lists this ribosomal RNA (253 nucleotides) under uncultured bacterium. RNAcentral's name for it is "partial 16S ribosomal RNA". It matches the Rfam family "Bacterial small subunit ribosomal RNA", at positions 524 to 776 of the family's 1533-position model. The record is from RNAcentral.